RNAcentral lists this ribosomal RNA (492 nucleotides) under uncultured bacterium. RNAcentral describes it as "partial 16S ribosomal RNA". It matches the Rfam family "Bacterial small subunit ribosomal RNA", at positions 29 to 507 of the family's 1533-position model. The record is from RNAcentral.
AGUGAACGCUGGCGGCAGGCCUAACACAUGCAAGUCGAACGGUAGCACAGCGAGAGGUUGCUCUUACGGGGGGCCGGUGGCGGAAUGCUGAGGAACAUACCGGAAUCUAUAGUUUCGUGGGGGAUAACGUAGUGAAACAUACGAUAAUACCGCAUACUACCUACGGGUGAAAGCAGGGGGUCUUGGGACCUUAGGCGACGGUAUGAGACGAUGUCGGAUUAGUUAGUUGGCGGGGUAAAGGCCCACCAAGGCGACGAUCCGUAGCUGGUCUGACACGAUGAUCAGCCACACUGGAACUGAGAUACGGUCCAGACUCCUACGGGAGGGAGCAGUGGGGAAUGUUGGACAAUGGGCGCAAGCCUGAUCCAGCCAUGCCGCGUGGGUGAAGAAGGCCUUCGGGUUGUAAAGCUCUUUUGUUUGGAAAGAAAAGGAGCAGGUUAAAACCCUGCUGUUCUGACGGUACCCAAAGAAUAAGCACCGGCUAACUUCGUG